UUAAAUACAAUUUGUUUAUUGCAAAAAUGUAUAUUGACAGCUGAACCCCCCAGCUUUUGCAAGCAAUGAAAUACAAAACUACUGACAACUGAACUUUGAUAAUAUACCAGAUCUCUGAAUCUGUCACUAACAUCCAUAGGAUAAAUCCAAAAUAUAAAAAUAUAUUACUAUUUAGUAAAUUGCACAAAGGGUCCUGUGAGACCAAAGAUUAAAUGCCGUUGAGCCAAACACAAACACAUGUUUUAUCAUCUCGACAAUUUACUGAUGCCAGAUUACCACCAGGUUUACUCGACAAGCAUGCACUCCGACAGCUCUGCUGGUUGCAGUUGUUUACUGGUAUAGCAGUGUUGCUAAAGAUUGGAUGACCACCUAGAUUGUGAUACCAGGGCCCUUCACCUCUUGCUUCAUUGUUUACCUCACCUGUUACAAAACAAUGGCUUAGUACAUAUACCAUAUUUGCAAGAGGCUAUUACUUGCGCAAAAUGUACACAAAUUGCGUUAUAGUGCAUUUUGUACAUAAUAAGCGCGGAUAGCAUGUUGCAACUAAAUACACAAUUAAAUCAAUAUAAAGUGACAUGAUGUAUACAGUAUACCUAUUGUAACAGGCAAGUUUAUGCCAAUUGUUGCAUAAACAACACAAACACAGAGAAUACCAAAAAUGGUUUUGCCCAUAAUGCUCUGCUUACAAAAGUAGAGUUUGGAGAGUGUGUCAGUUUAUAUUAUCUAAAAUGUCAAUAAAACACUCUGUAUAUAGAGAAGAGAUAACUGCUGGAAUUUAUGUUUGGAACAUAUCAUGUGCAUUUGAUUAAUAUUUGUAUAAUCAUA
RNAcentral lists this long non-coding RNA (825 nucleotides) under Daucus carota (carrot). RNAcentral describes it as "long non-coding RNA (DCAR_LNC006478)". The record is from RNAcentral. Lineage: Eukaryota; Viridiplantae; Streptophyta; Magnoliopsida; Apiales; Apiaceae.